AGUACCAAUGUGAUAGACCAAUUUGCAAUCCACUAAAUUUCUUGGAUGGUUUACACAAUAUUUUUGUUUGUUUGUUUUGUUUUGUUAUGUUUUUUUCUCUUACUUACUCAAUUUUCAGAGGUCUUGAAAAUUUUGACUACCUAAUAUAUGACAUGCAAGACUUCAUGAAUCUGGUCUAUGAAAUAAGCUUGUCUUUGAUUUGGGCUACUUAGCUCACACCUUUAUAAGAAAGGUAUCUCUCCUACACUAUGCUACUCAUUGUCUAUAAAGAAUGUGUCUUGGUUGAAAAUGUUACCAAAAAAGUUUUGAGGCAACUUCAAGGCAAGGUUUUGCAGAGAAUUAUAUAAAGAAGAUUCAACGAUAGAUUUCAUGCUGACUAUUUCUUCUUUAAAUCGUUGAACUUGGGUGCUUUUAAGAAUUGGAACUUCAUCAAGCAAAGGCACCUUUUCAAAGUGUAUUCCUAGCAAAAAAAACAUAUUCUGAUUAUGUGGUAAGCUUAAAUGAUGGUCACCAUGCAUACCAUGCAUACAAUGGGAGGACAAAAAGAAGUGAGCAAUUUUUAGCUAAAGAUGUCAAACAUGCUUCACAUUCAAAGUUCUUCUUGUUGAACAUGCCAAGAUAAAAUAGAUACAAACCCAUUGGCAAGUCACGCCUACAAUUUGCACAUUAUUUUUAUCAAAAAACUGCAUUUUCUGUAGGGAAGUACCAAAUCCUGGUAAGAUAAUAUCACCUUUUUCUACAGGUAAGGAAUCCUUUCUAUUCUUUUGAUGAAAACAAUGAGGGAUGUAGUGAAUCAGAGAGACUUUUUGUUUCUUCUAUUUUAUCCAAUGUAUAUUUAUUUUACAUAAGAGAUAUAUAUAAAGGGGGUUGUUAAAGCCACACCCACCUCCUUAUCCAUUCUGUACCCUAUUCAUGUUCUUUACCUCAUUCCUACCUCCCGUCUUAAGUAUGGAUUUCACAAAUUUGCCCCAUUUUUAAUAUAGUUAUUUUUUUUAAUUUGUGAAAUUCAGUUCUUUGUUAUAUAUAUAUAUAUAUAUAUAUAUAUUAAAAAAAAGAUAACAUGUUAUAAGUAAUCUUAUUUUUUUAAUGGUAUCAUUAAUGAUGUAAUGAAUAUCAUUAAACUAUUGUAUCAAAAUACCAAUCUUGUAGUAGAUUUUAUGGGCAAUUAAUUAAGUUCAAAAAUGAUUCCGAAAAUAAAUUUGUUUCACAUAUUGUAUGUAAAGAAAGAUAGUUUCUAUUAUGUUUAAUUUUAUGAAGAUUAAAGUCUCUACAUUAUGAAAUUUUAUUUCAGAUAAUUACAUAUAUUAUGUAUUUCAGCUUUCUUUAAUUUCUAUAGAUUUAUAUUUUUAUCAUCCAUGUAAAAAACACAAAAAAUAUGUCAAUUUAUUUAAAUACAUCAUAUCUUAUUUGAGAAUAUCACAAGUUUUUGGCAUUGUAGUUGAUAGCUGUAAUUAUAAAAUUCUUUCAAAACUUCUAAAACAAACAGUUUUUAAAAUCAUCUUCAACUUCAUCUAAUAUUCAUACUAAUGAAAUUAAACAACCUUAUUUCAGUUAAAUGUUAUGUAAACAACUAUAAUUUUUUAACUACUCCCCACAUUUAUGUAUAUUAAGGUGCUAUUAUUAAAUAUCAUCCUCAUGGAAUCUUGGUUUUUUUAGUAUCAUUUCAAUUGACAGCAUAUUUGGAAAGGUUGUGAAUAUUUCAAUAAAGUCAUAACAUUCAGGUACAUAACAAUAUAGAAAUAUAUAAAUAUAUAUAUAUAUAUAUAUAUAUAUUUAUUUAUUUGUAUCUGUACCAUACAGUGGUCAUGCCAACACAUGUGAAACUUCACCUCGCACAACUGAUGCAAGUAAAAGAAAGGAGGAAACAGCACGAAAGAUGUCCCCAAUUCCAUUUGCACGUUAAUGGACCUUGGAUGGUACAAGGAGCUGAAAUAUGAUGAAGAAAUGCACCGAAUCACGGCAGAUAGGCCCUCGAUAAUAAAGAUUUUCCUGCUCUGUUCCGCAAGAUACCAGCCUCCGAGUGGGGAUGUGAAUCGCCAAGUGCCCUGAGAGAGAGCCCUGCACCCACGACCAACAAAA
Molecule: long non-coding RNA, 2079 nt
Filed under: Physcomitrium patens
Lineage: Eukaryota; Viridiplantae; Streptophyta; Bryopsida; Funariales; Funariaceae
Description: long non-coding RNA (PPAT_LNC014382)
Source: RNAcentral